UACGGAGGGUGCGAGCGUUGUCCGGAAUCACUGGGCGUAAAGGGCGCGUAGGCGGUCUUGCAAGUCAGGGGUGAAAUCCCGGAGCUUAACUCCGGAAUUGCUUUGAUACUGUGAGGCUAGAGUGAGUUAGAGGAUGGCGGAAUUCCUAGUGUAGUGGUGAAAUACGUAGAUAUUAGGAAGAACACCGGUGGCGAAGGCGGCCAUCUGGGACUCAACUGACGCUGAGGCGCGAAAGGCGUGGGGAUCAAACAGG
Molecule: ribosomal RNA, 253 nt
Filed under: uncultured bacterium
Lineage: Bacteria
Description: partial 16S ribosomal RNA
Rfam family: Bacterial small subunit ribosomal RNA
Source: RNAcentral